AUUGAACGCUGGCGGCAGGCCUAACACAUGCAAGUCGAGCGGAUGAAGGGAGCUUGCUCCUGGAUUCAGCGGCGGACGGGUGAGUAAUGCCUAUGAAUCUGCCUGGUAGUGGGGGAUAACGUCCGGAAACGGGCGCUAAUACCGCAUACGUCCUGAGGGAGAAAGUGGGGGAUCUUCGGACCUCACGCUAUCAGAUGAGCCUAGGUCGGAUUAGCUAGUUGGUGGGGUAAAGGCCUACCAAGGCGACGAUCCGUAACUGGUCUGAGAGGAUGAUCAGUCACACUGGAACUGAGACACGGUCCAGGCUCCUACGGGAGGCAGCAGUGGGGAAUAUUGGACAAUGGGCGAAAGCCUGAUCCAGCGAUGCCACGUGUGUGAAGCAGGUCUUCGGAUUGUAAAGCAGUUUAAGUUGGGAGAAAGGGCAGUAAGUUAAUACAUUGCUGUUUUGACGUUACCAACAGAAUAAGCACCGGCUAACUUCGUG
Molecule: ribosomal RNA, 484 nt
Filed under: uncultured bacterium
Lineage: Bacteria
Description: partial 16S ribosomal RNA
Rfam family: Bacterial small subunit ribosomal RNA
Source: RNAcentral